RNAcentral lists this ribosomal RNA (247 nucleotides) under uncultured bacterium. RNAcentral describes it as "partial 16S ribosomal RNA". It matches the Rfam family "Archaeal small subunit ribosomal RNA", at positions 474 to 721 of the family's 1478-position model. The record is from RNAcentral.
UACCAGCACCCCGAGUGGUCGGGACGUUUAUUGGGCCUAAAGCAUCCGUAGCCGGUUCUACAAGUCUUCCGUUAAAUCCAGCUGCUUAACAGAUGGGCUGCGGAAGAUACUAUGGAGCUAGGAGGCGGGAGAGGCAAGCGGUACUCGAUGGGUAGGGGUAAAAUCCGUUGAUCCAUUGAAGACCACCAGUGGCGAAGGCGGCUUGCCAGAACGCGCUCGACGGUGAGGGAUGAAAGCUGGGGGAGCA